AUGACAUCUCUGUAUGGCUUUUUUUCAGACUCCACACUUCAUUCCUGCAUCCCUGUGGAAGUGUCCAGAGGCAGGCUGAAACUGUUCACAGAAUAACCAAACCCUCCUCAACUUCUCAGGUUUAUGGCCAAAAUGGGACAGCCGUUUCAGUUCAUAAGCAAUCACUUGACAGAUAACUUUGGACAUACCUACUGCCCAAGGACCCCUGGGACUCCUACGAAGGAUGCCACUACGGUGAGGAGAGAGGAGACCACUCAUCGGUACUACAUGGCAGCGUAGCCUGGCAUCAGGAGGCCUGAGGAUCUGCAGGAUCUUGGGGUUUCACUUUCCACAUCGGUACAAUGAGAAUAAAAUGGCACCUGACUGCAUACCUGGAGAGCGUUUACAGAAAGCAUACUCUAUGCAGGAUGCCUGUGGAGGGGACACCAAGGGCCCGUGUGGGAAAGGACUUGACCGAGGCCUGCUGCCAGCUCUAGGUGCCUUUCACCGUCCCUCCAGCGACUGCAUCCUGGGAAUCCCAAAGCAGGAAUCAACAUCUCUCAAAGGGCUUCUUUAACAAACCAAUUUGUGAAAUGUUUAACUACGGAAAGCCUUACACAGCAUUUGCAGUCUUCAUCUGGUUGUGUUUACAUUAAAUCACCUUUGUUGCAAAGAAUAAAAUAAAAUGAAAUUUAAAGUGUUCUGGAAAAUUUGA
Long non-coding RNA from Lemur catta (Ring-tailed lemur), 694 nucleotides. RefSeq lists it as uncharacterized. NCBI's taxonomy places the organism in Eukaryota, Metazoa, Chordata, Mammalia, Primates, Lemuridae. The record is from RefSeq and is a predicted model, not a curated record. The transcript is spliced from 4 exons.